AGCAGCCGCGGUAAUUCCAGCUCCAAUAGCGUAUAUUAAAGUUGUUGCAGUUAAAAAGCUCGUAGUUGAAUUUCGGAAUCUGUCCAUCGGUCGGGCUUCACUGUCCGUACUGGUGUGGUGGGUUCUUACCUUCUGAAUAACCAGCAUGCCAUUCAUUUGGUGCGCUGGGGAAGCAGGACUAUUACCUUGAAAAAAUUAGAGUGCUCAAAGCAGGCUAGUGCCUGAAUACAUUAGCAUGGAAUAAUAAAAUAGGACGGCAUGGUUCUAUUUUGUUGGUUUCUAGGAUCACCGUAAUGAUUAAUAGGGAUAGUUGGGGGCAUUAGUAUUCAAUUGUCAGAGGUGAAAUUCUUGGAUUUAUUGAAGACUAACUUCUGCGAAAGCAUUUGCCAAGGAUGUUUUCAUUAAUCAAGAACGAAAGUUAGGGGAUCGAAGACGAUCAGAUACCGUCGUAGUCUUAACCAUAAACUAUGCCGACUAGGGAUCGGACGAUGUUAAUUUUUUAAUGACUCA
RNAcentral lists this ribosomal RNA (510 nucleotides) under Acaulospora mellea. RNAcentral describes it as "SSU rRNA". It matches the Rfam family "Eukaryotic small subunit ribosomal RNA", at positions 569 to 1078 of the family's 1831-position model. Lineage: Eukaryota; Fungi; Glomeromycota; Glomeromycetes; Diversisporales; Acaulosporaceae. The record is from RNAcentral.